AGCAGCCGCGGUAAUUCCAGCUCCAAUAGCGUAUAUUAAAGUUGUUGCAGUUAAAAAGCUCGUAGUUGAAUUUCGGGAUCAGUUGAUCGGUCGUGCCUCGGUACGUACUGGUCAAAUUGAUUCCUACCUUCUGACGAACCACGAUGUCAUUAAUUUGAUGUCGCGGGAAAUCAGGACUGUUACUUUGAAAAAAUUAGAGUGUUUAAAGCAGGCUCGCGCUUGAAUACAUUAGCAUGGAAUAAUGAAAUAGGACGUUUGAUUCUAUUUUGUUGGUUUCUAGGAUCGACGUAAUGAUUAAUAGGGAUAGUUGGGGGCAUUAGUAUUCAAUUGUCAGAGGUGAAAUUCUUGGAUUUAUUGAAGACUAACUACUGCGAAAGCAUUUGCCAAGGAUGUUUUCAUUAAUCAAGAACGAAAGUUAGGGGAUCGAAGACGAUCAGAUACCGUCGUAGUCUUAACCAUAAACUAUGCCGACUAGGGAUCGGAUGGUGUUAAUUUUUUAAUGACUCAUUCGGCGCCUUAC
RNAcentral lists this ribosomal RNA (520 nucleotides) under uncultured Glomus. RNAcentral describes it as "SSU rRNA". It matches the Rfam family "Eukaryotic small subunit ribosomal RNA", at positions 569 to 1091 of the family's 1831-position model. Lineage: Eukaryota; Fungi; Glomeromycota; Glomeromycetes; Glomerales; Glomeraceae. The record is from RNAcentral.